AUUUGGUAGGCAACAACAAAUCAGUCAAAUCUACAUGGUAAAAGAGGAACAGGUCUCUCCAAGACAGAGACAUCAAUGUUACUCCAGACCUCUUGCUUGGUUGGAAGCUCUGCUAUCUUCUCUGCGAUUUCCAUGUCUUCAGGAAGAACAGAACCAAACACGGUGUAGGCUUUUUUCCACUCAAAAUGGUUGGCUAGGCUGAUUAAGAAACUUGGACCGGAACCAACCCAGGCUACUGAUCCCCUUCUGAUGUUGUAGUUACCCUCUCUUUGUAUCUCCUUGAAUAUUACACCGUGGGCUUCGAGUGUUCCUUGUAUUAAUCCAAAAGGGGGGCCAAACGGCACCUAUAUAUAUCUCACACCAGAAACAUCUGAAUGAGGAAUAAAUACUACAUCAAAGCCAUCUCAUAGGCUAAACAAUGGUGCUAAUAAAAGCA
Argentina anserina (silverweed cinquefoil) is the source of this 436-nucleotide long non-coding RNA. RefSeq lists it as uncharacterized. NCBI's taxonomy places the organism in Eukaryota, Viridiplantae, Streptophyta, Magnoliopsida, Rosales, Rosaceae. The transcript is spliced from 3 exons. The record is from RefSeq and is a predicted model, not a curated record.